AGAGUUUGAUCAUGGCUCAGAACGAACGCUGGCGGCAUGCCUAACACAUGCAAGUCGAACGCCCUCUUCGGAGGGAGUGGCGCACGGUGCGUAACGCGUGGGAACCUGCCCUUAGGUUCGGAAUAACUCAGAGAAAUUUGAGCUAAUACCGGAUAAUGUCUUCGGACCAAAGAUUUAUCGCCUUUGGAUGGGCCCGCGUUGGAUUAGCUAGUUGGUGGGGUAAAGGCCUACCAAGGCGACGAUCCAUAGCUGGUCUGAGAGGAUGAUCAGCCACACUGGGACUGAGACACGGCCCAGACUCCUACGGGAGGCAGCAGUGGGGAAUAUUGGACAAUGGGCGAAAGCCUGAUCCAGCAAUGCCGCGUGAGUGAUGAAGGCCUUAGGGUUGUAAAGCUCUUUACUGGGGAUGAUAAUGACAGUACCCAGAGAAUAAGCUCCGGCUAACUCCGUG
This 451-nucleotide ribosomal RNA is filed under the name uncultured bacterium. Its description in RNAcentral is "bacterial SSU rRNA". It matches the Rfam family "Bacterial small subunit ribosomal RNA", at positions 8 to 507 of the family's 1533-position model. The record is from RNAcentral.